This 1202-nucleotide long non-coding RNA is filed under the name Nicotiana benthamiana. RNAcentral describes it as "long non-coding RNA (NBEN_LNC024303)". Lineage: Eukaryota; Viridiplantae; Streptophyta; Magnoliopsida; Solanales; Solanaceae. The record is from RNAcentral.
GUAUCAAAGUCCCUUCCUUGCUUAGAACCACUAUCUCUUGAUUGAUCUGUUUUUUUUCUACUUUUGCAGCUCACUCUGUAAGUUCACUAGCAUAACACCAAUACAACACUAGCUAUAGCAGUAACUAGUAGAAUGAGUCAGGGUUCAGGUGAAUUCAAUAAUAGACGCCUGUUGGCAUUCCAGCCUUCCUUCUCCUUUCAGGGAGAGCUAAUGCGGGUAUUUUGGUUUGUAGGUAAUAAAACCUACUAUUCCGCUAUGAGGGAAAGGAGUGAAAAGCUAUGUGAAGUAAAAGAGGAGUAGGUAUUUUUGUUUGUAGGUAAUAAAACCUACUAUUAUGCUAUGAGGGAAAGGAGUGAAAAGCUAUGUAAAGUAAAAGAGGAGUUAAGAAAAAGUCUUGUCUAUUAACAUUUAAUAAUAAUGAAAGUACUUAUUUUUUAUUUUUUAAUUCACAUUUGAUUUUAAUUCAAAAUUACAAUUAUAUCCUGUCUCUGUAAGGUGAGAGUGGAAUUUCUCCUUUAUUUUGUCCUUUCAUUCACAUUUGAUUUUAAUUCAAAAUUACAAUUAUAUCCUAUCUCUGUAAGGUGAGAGUGGAGUUUCUCCUUUAUUUUGUCCUUUCCAUUCACUCGGAUUUCUUCCGUUUCAUCGAUUUUGUCCGGAUCCCACCUUUCUUCUGAAAAAAGGGAAGGAGAAGGAUCUUCUUCAGUGGAUCCCUCUUGUUCCUAUUUAGUCCCCUUCAUUUCGGAAGCUCUUUCUAUUUCUACAUCUCUUUCUUCCUCACUUUCCACCCUUUCUUAUGUUUUUGAGGCUUCUUUCAGUUUCUUAGUAAGAAUGGGUGAGGGUAUUCUGCCUUAACAGUAGACACGGGUAAUAAAUAAGAGAAUACUAAAGAUCCGAGCCAUAGAAUUUCUCAAUUCUAACACAAGGUACUUAUUAGAUCGAAUGUACUUAUUCGAUCUAAUAACUAGAGGUUCGAGCCAUAUAAUUUCUUAGUUCUAACACAAGGUACUUAUUAGAUCGAAUGUACUUCUUAGAUCUAAUAGAAUGAUUUUUCCGUAUCCAGACUAAUACCUAUCCAAGCCAUUUCAUGAAUGAAAUGUGACCAAUUAACCAACCAACAAAACCACUUGUACAAAUAUGAUCUUGCUGUUGCAUCGAAAGAGAUAAAUGUUGACUAAUCUGGCUAACAUUGAACUUGGUAAAAU